RNAcentral lists this ribosomal RNA (253 nucleotides) under uncultured bacterium. RNAcentral's name for it is "partial 16S ribosomal RNA". It matches the Rfam family "Bacterial small subunit ribosomal RNA", at positions 524 to 776 of the family's 1533-position model. The record is from RNAcentral.
UACGGAGNGUGCGAGCGUUAAUCGGAAUUACUGGGCGUAAAGCGCACGCAGGCGGUUUGUUAAGCUAGAUGUGAAAGCCCAGGGCUCAACCUGGGAUGGUCAUUUAGAACUGGCAGACUAGAGUCUUGGAGAGGGGAGUGGAAUUCCAGGUGUAGCGGUGAAAUGCGUAGAUAUCUGGAGGAACAUCAGUGGCGAAGGCGACUCCCUGGCCAAAGACUGACGCUCAUGUGCGAAAGUGUGGGUAGCGAACAGG